This 2228-nucleotide small RNA is filed under the name Ixodes scapularis (black-legged tick). Its description in RNAcentral is "uncharacterized LOC115325443". Lineage: Eukaryota; Metazoa; Arthropoda; Arachnida; Ixodida; Ixodidae. The record is from RNAcentral.
AUGGCGGAGUUAGUGAGGGUCGGUUGGACGGCGAGAGCCCUGCUCCUUACGAGUAUUUUGGGAAUAUGCUAACGCUACGAAAUAUUCGCGGUGCUACGAGGAAGCGGACCUCCUGUUACAGGCCGGGCAUUUGUUUCUUUGCGGCAAAACAUCGUCGUCCGAGGACAACGUUGAAAUAUUGGCGUUGUGCCUCGCAACGAGCAGCGUCCGAGGCGAUCCGCAUGAGAUCACCGUAAAACUUGUCGCGGGAGAUGGCCCAAAGUUCCGUGUGGACAGUGCCGUCUGCUCGUGCGUGGCGGGAUCAUCAGAAUGCUGCAAGCACGCUGUCGCCACGCUUCUUCACUGCAACAGAAAGGGAAUCCAGCAUCUCGAAGAUCUAAGCUGCACCGACAAGGAGUGCGCGUGGAAAAAGACCCCUGGAAAGGAGUUGUAUGGCGAUCCUGUGCCGUACAAGAUGUUCUGUCAUGUAAAGAAGCUCCGACCUACGCUGGAGCCUUCACCCGAGGCGCAGGCAGCUAUCCUCAAGCAGCUGACAGGCGCCUGCUUUAAUUCUGCGCUCGCCAAGCAUAGGAGGAGGAGGCGGGCUGAUCGGUCAUGCAGUGUCCCGGAACCGUCAAGGCUGGACGAGAAGUACAGGCAGGUCAUAGAGUGCGCCGAAGGCAGUGAUCUUUUGGCAAGGCUUGCCGCAGUUCCGGCCUCUCCUCCGGAAGGCUGCUCUUCUUUCUACGAUCAACAAGUCGCUGUCUCUGUUGAAACAGCCGCUGUCAUGCUUCGGGACACAAAAGAGAACAAGGCAGCCUGGAUGAUGGAACGUCGCUGCCGGAUCACAGGAACAACAUGCUACCCCCCUCUCUACCUACAAGUUGGGAAACUGGGAAAAGAAGGUGCGGUCCACAAUGCAGCCAUCAUUCCGUGGCAAUGCCGCAACGGCCCAUGGUCUACGAUACGAGCCAAAGGCACGGGAGAAGUAUGCAAAGACCCGACGAGUUGACAUUUUUACGUGUGGACUCGUUGUUUCGCCACAAAACCCCUGGCUCGGCUGCUCCCCUGAUGGCGUUGUGUUCGAGGGGUCGCGACCAGGCACGUUGAUCGAAAUCAAGUGUCCCAAGAAGGGAGAAAUGAUGACUGCAAAGGCACUCUUGGCCACCUGUGAUUUUCUGGAGACUGACGAGGCUGGUACCUACAGCCAAAAGAAGCGCCACACCUUCUAUGGGCAGAUGCAGCUGGGGAUGGUUCUUCUUGAUGUGAAGACCUGUGAUCUUGUUAUUUAUGCUAGCAUGGAUGAUUCAAUCGAGGUCAUAUGCGUGGAUUUCGAUGAAGCUUUCGUUUGGCCUCUCCUGACAACCGUAAAGAGAAUUUACUUUGAGCGUGUACUUCCAGUCCUAUGUUCGUCGGUAGAGUGAAAAACACGACUAGUCUGAUACUUGGUGCGGCAGCUGGUGUACUGUGUUGGACCGCUAGAGUGCAGUACUUUUCUUUGUUGUUUUUUUAGAGUGGGCUACAGGACAGAUUCAUUUUUUUUCUUUUUGCCAUCUUUUUUUGUGAGCAGUAGCAUAUUUGCAGUGAAGCAACAGUUUUGCCUCGUUAAAUAUUUUUCCUGUUGGCUUUGUCUCAAGAGUUGGUCACCUCCUGCAUUCUUCAGUAGGAAACUAUGUGUGCGAGUAUAGUUGGGAAAGAACUUGGCGCUUAUUUUUACUUUGAGGUCAGAAUGCAGAAUUCGCUCAAUACUGUCCUUUUAGAAGCUCUCAAACUUCUAGUUAUUUCUUCGGAUUGAUUAUUCCUCAGUAUUUAUUUCUGCUAACUUCAGAAGGAACUGUUGAUGUGGUACAUGAAGACGUAUGCAUGUGCUUGUUAUGUGAUAAAAUAAUUAUUUAUGAGAUAUACUACUAGCUCAAUUACGUUCAUGCUAUAAUUUAAAACUAAAGUGAAUGUUCUACGCUCAUCACCAUCUCGAGAAAAAGGAAGUUUUGUGGUCAUACGCUGUUCCUACCUUUUUCUAGAUUUAACUUUCAAAGGAGAACCGGUGCUUUCACAUUCUAAACAUGCAUGUUGAACAAAAUUACAAAAAUUUAUCCUAAACUCUUAAACAGGCAUCUUCAUUCACCGUGUAAAUUGUAGAAUUAGUACCUGUCUUCAACAAGUUGAAAUUUCCUUACUGUGAUGCUUGCAUGAAAGCAACUGUAUAGAAGUGUGCAAUAUUUUAUUAAUAAUAAAUCUACACAAAGAAA